UGAAGACUUUGUUAAAAAAAAAAAAUCAAGAAUGAAAUGUCAUUUUAGGGGGGCCUCUUAGGCCUGGUCCAUUGACCAGCCCAACGACCAAGAAAACAGCCCAAGAAGCGGCACUAUUUGUAAAGCUUUGGGGAAAAAAAACUGAGAUAGAAGACUCCCAUCUCCUUCUCCCUUCCGAUCUCGCUGGAGGGAAGCCGAUUUCGAGCAGAAAUCGGCCUCCCUCCAUUCUAUUUAACGAGCCCUCCGAGCCCUUUAGGAUUCCAUAUCCUUGUCGUUGGAGAUCGUCGGUGAUCCCAUAUUUUCUCUUUUUUUUCUCUGCAGAUGACCAUCACAAAGCCUGUUGAAAAUUAUGGCCAGAAGCUAGGACCGAUCAUCGUUGCCGACUGCCGGUCACAAGCUUGUGCUGCCAUGGCCAUAGCCAUUAUCGGCCACGGCCACCAUUGCCAGUGGAUGACCUUUUGUCUCGAGAGAACGGGGGACAAAGAAUCUCCAAUUCCAUCCAGAAAAUAGGAAGGAGAAAGAGAAGAAAAGAAAAGAACGAAAAAAAAAAAAAGAGAAAUUUUCUCUCUCUUCUGUUCCUCUCCCUUUCCCCAAUUUCUUUCAUUUAGGGGACCUACGCCUGGCGGUCGCUGCUAGAUUUCCAAUUCUAUAAUUAAUGGGUGACGAAGACUGGCAAGUUUCCCGAAGUUUCAUGGACAGACCUAGUCAUCUUUUUAAUUUUUCUGGAAAGGCUCGCAAAGCGUCUGAUGCUCACAUCUUUGGAAUGGUUGUACUAAAUAUUGCAUUCGGAGCAAGACAUAGUGAAGAACUUAGUAGAGUUGGUGUAGGAGCUUUAUAGGAAUGAGAUAUGUUUUACUGCAGCAUUAUGGAAGAUUAAACAAGUGUUUAACAAGCAACGAAUGAAGUAAUUGAUGGUAGUGGGACUAUGAUGCAGUAUCAAAUCGGAUUACAAUUUAAGGCCGUCCAUAAGACGUGGUGAAUGUUCUCAACUUUGAUCCUCAACUACCAGUCUAUCAGCGAAGAUGGAGGCUUUUUUUCAAGACGUCUGCACCCAGUGGCCAGUGAUUGCUGUACAAUUGCCAACUCUCUCAUGUACGGGCGUUGAGGUCUAGCAAUUUUGUCUAAAAUUUUAUGAAUAAUGUCAUGCCAUACAUUCCGCUUGCAAAUUAGUCAACAGCUACUGUUUAUAAAAAUAUGUACAAAAAUAUUUUAUUAGUUUUGGAGAAGACUCAUCUUUUUUUGUGGUUAGCACCUUGCAACAAGCUUUACACUGGAGAUGUAUUAGUCGAAAAAAAAUUGGUAAGGGAA
Molecule: long non-coding RNA, 1308 nt
Organism: Elaeis guineensis (African oil palm)
Lineage: Eukaryota; Viridiplantae; Streptophyta; Magnoliopsida; Arecales; Arecaceae
Source: RefSeq, a predicted model, not a curated record